AAUAUUUGACAAUGGGGGGAACCCUGAUCCAGCCAUGCCGCGUGUGUGAAGAAGGUCUUCGGAUUNUAAAGCACUUUAAGUUGGGANGAAGGGCAUUAACCUAAUACGUUAGUGUUUUGACGUUACCGACAGAAUAAGCACCGGCUAACUUCGUGCCAGCAGCCGCGGUAAUACGAAGGGUGCAAGCGUUAAUCGGAAGUACUGGGCGUAAAGCGCGCGUAGGUGGUUCGUUAAGUUGGAUGUGAAAGCCACGGGCUCAACCUGGGAACUGCAUCCAAAACUGGCGAGCUAGAGUACGGUAGAGGGUGGUGGAAUUUCCUGUGUAGCGGUGAAAUGCGUAGAUAUAGGAAGGAACACCAGUGGCGAAGGCGACCACCUGGACUGAUACUGACACUGAGGUGCGAAAGCGUGGGGAGCAAACAGG
Molecule: ribosomal RNA, 424 nt
Filed under: uncultured bacterium
Lineage: Bacteria
Description: partial 16S ribosomal RNA
Rfam family: Bacterial small subunit ribosomal RNA
Source: RNAcentral